UUAAAAGGCAAAGCAGUCGAAAGACUGUGACGCAAAGCUAAAGGGCCUUCACAAGAUCACUUGUAAGGUAGCCAGUUGC
This 79-nucleotide non-coding RNA is filed under the name bovine gut metagenome. RNAcentral's name for it is "Cyclic di-GMP-I riboswitch". It matches the Rfam family "c-di-GMP-I riboswitch aptamer", at positions 6 to 83 of the family's 87-position model. From Rfam's summary of the family: GEMM was predicted in a large-scale screen for bacterial structured RNA regulatory elements. The record is from RNAcentral.